RNAcentral lists this ribosomal RNA (385 nucleotides) under uncultured bacterium. RNAcentral describes it as "bacterial SSU rRNA". It matches the Rfam family "Bacterial small subunit ribosomal RNA", at positions 370 to 772 of the family's 1533-position model. The record is from RNAcentral.
AAUGGAGGAAACUCUGAUGCAGCGACGCCGCGUGAGUGAUGAAGCCCUUCGGGGUGUAAAGCUCUUUCGACAGGAACGAUAAUGACGGUACCUGAAGAAGAAGCUGCGGCUAACUACGUGCCAGCAGCCGCGGUAAUACGUAGGCAGCAAGCGUUGUUCGGAAUUACUGGGCGUAAAGAGUGUGUAGGCGGUGCUCUAAGUUUGGUGUGAAAUCUCCCGGCUUAACCGGGAGGCUGCAUUGAAUACUGGAGUGCUAGAGGGUGGGAGAGGUAAGCGGAAUUCCUGGUGUAGCGGUGAAAUGCGUAGAUAUCAGGAGGAACACCUGUGGUGUAGACAGCUUACUGGACCACUUCUGACGCUGAGACACGAAAGCGUGGGUAGCAAA